AAUAAGAUGCCUGAUAAAAGGGUUACUUUGAUAGAGUAGAUCAUGUUGGCUAACCCAACUCUUAUUA
This 67-nucleotide transfer RNA is filed under the name Eochionelasmus ohtai. RNAcentral describes it as "tRNA-Ile". Lineage: Eukaryota; Metazoa; Arthropoda; Thecostraca; Balanomorpha; Pachylasmatidae. The record is from RNAcentral.